UACGGGGGGGGCAAGCGUUGUUCGGAAUUACUGGGCGUAAAGGGCUCGUAGGCGGCCAACUAAGUCAGACGUGAAAUCCCCAGGCUCAACCUGGGAACUGCGUCUGAUACUGGAUGGCUUGAAUUCGGGAGAGGGAUGCAGAAUUCCAGGUGUAGCGGUGAAAUGCGUAGAUAUCUGGAGGAAUACCGGUGGCGAAGGCGGCAUCCUGGACCGACAUUGACGCCGAUGAGCGAAAGCUAGGGGAGCAAACGGG
RNAcentral lists this ribosomal RNA (253 nucleotides) under uncultured bacterium. RNAcentral's name for it is "partial 16S ribosomal RNA". It matches the Rfam family "Bacterial small subunit ribosomal RNA", at positions 524 to 776 of the family's 1533-position model. The record is from RNAcentral.